Molecule: RNA transcript, 2327 nt
Organism: Lycium barbarum (goji berry)
Lineage: Eukaryota; Viridiplantae; Streptophyta; Magnoliopsida; Solanales; Solanaceae
Exons: 12
Source: RefSeq, a predicted model, not a curated record
AGUGCGAAUGACCCUGUAAUUUUUGGUGUUAGCCAUGGGCCACUAGCGAGUAGCGAGUAGCGAGUAGUGUUGUGUGUGGAGACUGGAGACUAAUAACUUGGAUAUUAAACCCUCCUAAAAUCUCAGCCCUUCCUAGAUUUGCCACGUCCAAGCCGCUUCUGACUAGUUCCCAUCCGCAAACAAAAAGAGUCAAUAUGUGAUAUUCAUUCAUCUUCUUCCUUCCUUCAAAUCACUGAUGAGUGUUUAUUCAACACCCAUUUUGAUUCUUGUUUUUUCCCUUCACCCAUUUACUAUCUGCUGUCAAUAUGCCUGCUUCAAAGAGUUCAGGAAACAUAAAGCUUAGGAAAAAACUAAAACUUGCUAAUUGUAUAUCCAAAGAUGAUAAGAAGACCCUAGAUUCCAAUGGAAAAGGAGCUAACAAAGCACAACAAAAUAGGGAGCAAGUUUAUGAGGGAGUAGUGAAUGGUAAGUCUGGUGGGAAAAGGAAGAGAGUUUAUGCUCAUCGAGAUAUGGACAACAGUGUUGGAAGAAGGUACUUAUUGAAAGAAGAAGGUAAAAUGGUUUUGGAGGCGCAAGAAAAGUUUUCUAGAAAGAAUGCUUUAUAUGGUGAAGGUAGAAGGUCGCUGUCUAAUGAGAGAAAAUCUAGGAACGUGAAAGUGGAUGGCUAUGGGGAAGAAGAAAAUGUUAAAAGAAAGACAUUGGACCAGAGUGGGAGCAACCAAAAAUCUCCUAGAAGAUCUUCCACAAAGAACAACUUGCAAAGGCCAAAGAAGAAAAAGCGAGUCAUUCGAAUAGAUCCUCAUGAUACCUCAAACAAGAGGCUUGAUGAUGGACUGCCAAGUAAAGAUAACAAUAAGGAAAAGCAAGAAGAGUCAGCAAAACAGAAAACUGUUGAACUGUCAAAGAACGCACAAUUUCGUUCAAUAUGCCCCAGUCCAUCUAUCCUUUCUUUUGUGGAAGACAACUUGUUGGGUCGUAGACGUGAUAUUCAGUUAAAGAGGGCAGGCUAUAACAUUGAACUCUCUGCUCCUUUAGAUAACAUUCCUUUCUCAACAAGCUCAGAAAGGAAGCGGAUUGAAGGGCCGGUGUUCAGGAAUAAGUUGGAAUUUUUUGCUGCAGCUAAGGUUUUGUCGUCAUUUCCCCCUGCAGAUCUUCCAGAGAUUGCUUUUGCAGGAAGGUCAAACGUGGGAAAGUCAUCUUUACUAAAUGCAUUGACCAGGCAAUGGGGUGUUGUACGGACAUCAGAUAAGCCUGGCCUCACUCAGACUAUUAACUUCUUCAAGCUUGGUUCAAAAAUGUGCUUGGUUGAUUUGCCGGGAUAUGGUUUUGCUUAUGCCAAAGAAGAAGUGAAAGAAGCUUGGGAGGAGCUUGUGAAAGAGUAUGUUUCUACACGUCUUGGUCUAAAGAGAGUCUGCCUUCUGAUUGAUACAAAGUGGGGCAUGAAACAGGCGGAUCAUGAGCUCAUUAAUUUAAUGGAGAGAGCUCAAACAAAAUACCAGAUCAUUUUAACCAAGACAGACACGGUUUUCCCAAUAGAUGUGGCACGACGAGCCAUGCAAAUUGAAGAGAGCCUCAAGGCAAACAAGUCUGUUGUUCAGCCUGCGGUGAUGGUAAGCUCAAAAUCUGGAGCUGGUAUCCGAAGUUUAAGAACAGUGCUUGCUAAGAUCGCUCGGUUUGUGAAACCGUAAAUGGAGUAUUCAUCUUCUUUUGAUAUUCUUGUCUUAUCUAUGGUGUUUCAUUCAGCAAACAGACACUAUAGCCGCUCCGGUGAAAAAUAAGGAUUUUCCUUUCAAUGUUCCAUGGUUCUGAAGAUGGAAGUAUUUAGAUAAAGUUUAAAUGUUCUUUCUCGCUGAAUGGGUAUGUGAUUUGUUGUUGAUAGUUGCUUUGACCAGCAACCAUCUCUAUAUAAAUCGUCGUUUAGAGUAAUGCAGAUCACCUGCCACUAUCAGCAAGAAAUCAAUAUAUCCACGGAUGGUAUAAGAUAAAAUAUGUAGUUUUCUCUUGAUUGGUGAUGGAUGGUGGCUGUUGCAAAUGCGCAUUCCUGGUAACAUGUUUUCUGCAUGAGCGUCAACUUGGCCAUGUCACAGAACAAGACACUUUUAAAGUCUAGCAUUUUUUUAUGUGAAUUGUUGUUGCUCAGUGCUGCCCUUUGAAUAGUCUACUGAAAAUCAUUCUAUUUAUUUGUUUCCGAUAUUCAGUCUCCUAACGAUAGUGGGCACCUUUUCGUUUAGGGUCCUAAAUGGUUGUGAGGUUCUGUAGCUAUGUAAAUUCAUUGACAAUGAAGUUGGUUGACUGGUUCUAAUUUUAAAAUGCCUAGAUUCUACCGA